Molecule: ribosomal RNA, 345 nt
Filed under: uncultured bacterium
Lineage: Bacteria
Description: partial 16S ribosomal RNA
Rfam family: Bacterial small subunit ribosomal RNA
Source: RNAcentral
CCUACGGGCGGCUGCAGUGGGGAAUAUUGCACAAUGGGGGAAACCCUGAUGCAGCGACGCCGCGUGAGUGAAGAAGUAUUUCGGUAUGUAAAGCUCUAUCAGCAGGGAAGAAAGAGCGACCGGUGGGUCGCCAGACGGUACCGGAUGAAGAAGCCCCGGCGAACUACGUGCCAGCAGCCGCGGUAAUACGUAGGGGGCAAGCGUUAUCCGGAUUUACGGGGUGGCAAGGGAGCGUAGACGGCAGCGCAAGUCUGAAGUGAAAUGCCGGGGCGUAACCCCGGAACUGCUUUGGAAACUGUGCAGCUAGCGUGCCGGUGAGGUAAGUGGCAUUCCUUGUGUAGCGGU